Molecule: non-coding RNA, 529 nt
Organism: Drosophila melanogaster (fruit fly)
Lineage: Eukaryota; Metazoa; Arthropoda; Insecta; Diptera; Drosophilidae
Source: Ensembl
CCUUCGGCUAAGCAGCAAUAUGGUCAAUAGGUGUAUUCCAUUUCACAUAUGUUGCCACUGUGCCACAACCUUUUGAAAUUAGUAAAUGUCUUCUCGUUUUGCAUAUUCAUUCUUUUCGAUAUAUCCUAAAUGCGUCCCUACAUUACAAAAUAUUUAUACCUGGAAUUAAAGGCAGUCAUCGGGAUCACAGCAUAAAGGUUCCCAAAAUAUUUUUUGGAGUCUAUUAGAGCACCCAGAACCCAGAGUAAGGUCCCAAGCACUGCUAUUUUUAUGAUCACAGCUGUAUGUUCUUGAUAUUCAGGAUCAAUAGCCGAGUCGAUCUAGCUAUGUCCGUAUGAACGUCGAGAUCUCAGGAACUAUAACAGCUAGAAGGUUGAGAUUCAGCAUACAGAUUCUAGAGACAAAGACGAAGCUCAAAGUUGUUGACCCACGCCCAAAUUUUUUAAAACUGUGUUGAUAUAUUUUUAUAUUUUUAUUAGUCUUGUUUAUUUCUAUCGAUUUGAAUAAAAAUUGUUUUUCAAAACUGCGA